Molecule: ribosomal RNA, 473 nt
Filed under: uncultured bacterium
Lineage: Bacteria
Description: bacterial SSU rRNA
Rfam family: Bacterial small subunit ribosomal RNA
Source: RNAcentral
ACUCCUACGGGAGGCAGCAGUGGGGAAUAUUGCACAAUGGGGGAAACCCUGAUGCAGCCAUGCCGCGUGUGUGAAGAAGGCCUUCGGGUUGUAAAGCACUUUCAGUAGGGAGGAAGGUAGUGUAGUUAACACCUGCACUAUUUGACGUUACCUACAGAAGAAGCACCGGCUAACUCCGUGCCAGCAGCCGCGGUAAUACGGAGGGUGCGAGCGUUAAUCGGAAUUACUGGGCGUAAAGCGCAUGCAGGCGGCCUGUUAAGUCAGAUGUGAAAGCCCGGGGCUUAACCUCGGAAUUGCAUUUGAAACUGGUAGGCUAGAGUCUUGUAGAGGGGGGUAGAAUUUCAGGUGUAGCGGUGAAAUGCGUAGAGAUCUGAAGGAAUACCAGUGGCGAAGGCGGCCCCCUGGACAAAGACUGACGCUCAGAUGCGAAAGCGUGGGGAGCAAACAGGAUUAGAUACCCUGGUAGGAUAGCG